GACAGAGGGGGCAAGCGUUGCUCGGAAUCACUGGGCGUAAAGGGCGCGUAGGCGGGAUGGCAAGUCAGUCGUGAAAUCUCUCGGCUCAACCGAGAAACGUCGGCUGAUACUGCCGUUCUUGAGGGAUGCAGAGGAGACUGGAAUUCCGGGUGUAGCGGUGGAAUGCGUAGAGAUCCGGAAGAACACCGGUGGCGAAGGCGGUCUGCUGGGGUAAUGCUGACACUGACGCGUGAUGCGCGAAAGCCAGGGGAGGCGAACGGG
This 261-nucleotide ribosomal RNA is filed under the name uncultured bacterium. Its description in RNAcentral is "partial 16S ribosomal RNA". It matches the Rfam family "Bacterial small subunit ribosomal RNA", at positions 524 to 776 of the family's 1533-position model. The record is from RNAcentral.